AGAGGGUUCGGCCCUCGGCUGACGGCUCUCNAACACGUGGAUAAUCUGCCCUUAGGUGGAGAAUAAUCUCGGGAAACUGAGAAUAAUACUCCAUAGAUCUGGGAUGCUGGAAUGCACUCAGAUUGAAAGCUCUGGCGCCUAAGGAUGAGUCUGCGGACUAUCAGGUAGUAGUCAGGGUAAAGACCUGACUAGCCUAUGACGGAUACGGGCUGUGAGAGCAAUAACCCGGAGACGAUAUCUGAGACACGAUAUCGGGCCCUACGGGGUGCAGCAGGCGCGAAAACUUCACACUGUGCGAAAGCACGAUGAGGGGAUCCCAAGUGCUUGCUCGUAGGAGUAAGCUGUUUUUUUGUCUAAAACACAGAGAGAGUAAGGGCUGGGUAAGACGGGUGCCAGCCGCCGCGGUAAUACCUGCAGCUCAAGUGGUGACCACUAUUAUUGGGCCUAAAACGUCCGUAGCCGGUUUAAUAAAUGCCUGGGUAAAUCGUGUAGCUUAACUAUACGAAUUCUGGGUAGACUGUUAAACUUGAGACCGGGAGAGGCUAGAGGUACUCCUGGGG
RNAcentral lists this ribosomal RNA (560 nucleotides) under uncultured euryarchaeote. RNAcentral's name for it is "bacterial SSU rRNA". It matches the Rfam family "Archaeal small subunit ribosomal RNA", at positions 61 to 626 of the family's 1478-position model. Lineage: Archaea; Methanobacteriati; Methanobacteriota. The record is from RNAcentral.